This 539-nucleotide ribosomal RNA is filed under the name uncultured fungus. Its description in RNAcentral is "bacterial SSU rRNA". It matches the Rfam family "Bacterial small subunit ribosomal RNA", at positions 107 to 660 of the family's 1533-position model. The record is from RNAcentral. Lineage: Eukaryota; Fungi.
UGAGUAACACGUGACUAACCUACCCUAGAGUGGGGGAUAACCUCGGGAAAACCGGGGCUAAUACCGCAUAAUAUCUUCGGGAUGAGAAGCUGAAGAUCAAAGGAGCAAUUCGCUUUUGGAGGGGGUCGCGGCUGAUUAGCUAGUUGGCGGGGUAACGGCCCACCAAGGCUUUGAUCGGUAGCCGGCCUGAGAGGGCGCACGGCCACACUGGAACUGAAACACGGUCCAGACUCCUACGGGAGGCAGCAGUGGGGAAUUUUGCGCAAUGGGGGAAACCCUGACGCAGCAACGCCGCGUGGAGGAUGAAGUCCCUUGGGACGUAAACUCCUUUCGACCGGGAAGAUUAUGACGGUACCGGUGGAAGAAGCCCCGGCUAACUUCGUGCCAGCAGCCGCGGUAAUACGAGGGGGGCAAGCGUUGUUCGGAAUUAUUGGGCGUAAAAGGGCGCGUAGGCGGCAUAGCAAGUCACCUGUGAAAAACUCUGGGCUCAACCCAGAGCCUGCAGGCGAAACUGCAAUGCUUGAGUAUGGGAGAGGUGC